RNAcentral lists this long non-coding RNA (564 nucleotides) under Homo sapiens (human). Its description in RNAcentral is "PCBP1 antisense RNA 1". The record is from RNAcentral. Lineage: Eukaryota; Metazoa; Chordata; Mammalia; Primates; Hominidae.
UUCCUCCCUUUAAUUUGAAACGGGAACGCGAAUGACUGUAAAAUAGGAAGACAAACAUAAAGAUGAAGUGCUUAAUUCAAGGUCACACAAUGUCGGGGAUGGACCUCCAGAUUUCCUUACUGACCUGCAUUAUCUUGUGGAUACCUGAGUGAAUUCCACACCACCCAUUUUAUAGAUGAAACCACUGAGACAUGGAGCAAUUGACUGAGUAGUCACUGCCCCACCCCUGCCUGGAGCCUCACACAUGACUCGCCUCCUCUCAGUGACCACAGGUUGGUUGAGGGGUUUAACAAGGCUAAGAAGGUGAGACGUGGUCUUGUAACACAGUGGUUAAGAAUGUGACUUUGGAGCCAGCCUGCUAGGGGCUGAAUUCUGACUCAGCCAUUUACUAACUGUGUGACCUUAGGUGGAGUCUCACUCUGUAGCCCAAGCUGGAGUGGCGUGAUCUCGACUCACUGCAACCUCCGCCUCCUGGGAUCAAGUGAUUCUCGUGCCUCAGCCUCCUGAGUAGCCGGGACUACAGUUGUCCCUUGGUGUGGGAUUGCUUCCAGUACCUCUGUGUGU